UGGGGGUCUGGGUCUCAGGUGUGGCAGAUGACAGGAUUGGACAUUGAGAAGGACCAGAUUAUUGAGAUGGCCUGUCUGAUAACUGACUCUGAUCUCAACAUUUUGGCUGAAGGUCCUAACCUGAUUAUAAAACAACCAGAUGAGUUGCUGGACAGCAUGUCAGAUUGGUGUAAGGAGCACCACGGGAAGGUAACAUUACCAAAUAACAGGAUUGCUGCUUUGGGGAUCAGUAACAAGCUUUUUGCUCCCACACCUGAAUCCGAUACCAUUGUUGGAUGGUAUUUUAAAAAGGCUUAGAGAAGAUUGCAUGGCAAGCCUGGGAAACUGCUUGCUUGUUUACUUUUCAUCUUUGGGACCUCUCGAGAUCAUCUUCUCCUGAAUGUCCUCUUUUUUUUCUCUCCUACAUUCAGUCUGUCGCGAACGCAUUGUGGAUUGUCAAGUAUUACUCAAGUCAGUCUUUUGG
RNAcentral lists this small RNA (463 nucleotides) under Pan troglodytes (chimpanzee). RNAcentral's name for it is "retained intron". Lineage: Eukaryota; Metazoa; Chordata; Mammalia; Primates; Hominidae. The record is from RNAcentral.